Molecule: ribosomal RNA, 483 nt
Filed under: uncultured bacterium
Lineage: Bacteria
Description: partial 16S ribosomal RNA
Rfam family: Bacterial small subunit ribosomal RNA
Source: RNAcentral
GACGAACGCUGGCGGCGUGCUUAACACACGCAAGUCGAACGCUGAAGCUCAGCUUUUGUUGGGUGGAUGAGUGGCGAACGGGUGAGUAACACGUGAGUAACCUGCCUCCUUCUUUGGGAUAACGCCCGGAAACGGGUGCUAAUACUGGAUAUUCACUGGUCUUCGCAUGGGGGUUGGUGGAAAGGGUUUUUCUGGUGGGGGAUGGGCUCGCGGCCUAUCAGCUUGUUGGUGGGGUGAUGGCCUACCAAGGCUUUGACGGGUAGCCGGCCUGAGAGGGUGACCGGUCACAUUGGGACUGAGAUACGGCCCAGACUCCUACGGGAGGCAGCAGUGGGGAAUAUUGCACAAUGGGCGCAAGCCUGAUGCAGCGACGCCGCGUGAGGGAUGGAGGCCUUCGGGUUGUGAACCUCUUUCGCUCAUGGUCAAGCCGCAACAAUGGUUGUGGUGAGGGUAGUGGGUAAAGAAGCGCCGGCUAACUACGUG